RNAcentral lists this ribosomal RNA (373 nucleotides) under uncultured organism. RNAcentral's name for it is "partial 16S ribosomal RNA". It matches the Rfam family "Bacterial small subunit ribosomal RNA", at positions 527 to 896 of the family's 1533-position model. The record is from RNAcentral.
GUAGGUGGCAAGCGUUGUCCGGAAUUAUUGGGCGUAAAGCGCGCGCAGGUGGUUCUUUAAGUCUGAUGUGAAAGCCCCCGGGCUCAACCGGGGAGGGUCAUUGGAAACUGGGGAACUUGAGUGCAGGAGAGGAAAGUGGAAUUCCACGUGUAGCGGUGAAAUGCGUAGAUAUGUGGAGGAACACCAGCGGCGAAGGCGACUUUCUGGCCUGUAACUGACACUGAGGCGCGAAAGCGUGGGGAGCAAACAGGAUUAGAUACCCUGGUAGUCCACGCCGUAAACGAUGAGUGCUAAGUGUUGGGGGGUUUCCGCCCCUCAGUGCUGCAGCUAACGCAUUAAGCACUCCGCCUGGGGAGUACGGCCGCAAAGACUG